This 497-nucleotide ribosomal RNA is filed under the name uncultured bacterium. RNAcentral describes it as "partial 16S ribosomal RNA". It matches the Rfam family "Bacterial small subunit ribosomal RNA", at positions 28 to 507 of the family's 1533-position model. The record is from RNAcentral.
GAUGAACGCUGGCGGCGUGCCUAAUACAUGCAAGUCGAGCGAACAGACGAGGAGCUUGCUCCUCUAACGUUAGCGGCGGACGGGUGAGUAACACGUGGAUAACCUACCUAUAAGACUGGGAUAACUUCGGGAAACCGGAGCUAAUACCGGAUAAUAUAUUGAACCGCAUGGUUCAAUAGUGAAAGACGGUUUUGCUGUCACUUAUAGAUGGAUCCGCGCCGCAUUAGCUAGUUGGUAAGGUAACAGCUUACCAAGGCAACGAUGCGUAGCCGACCUGAGAGGGUGAUCGGCCACACUGGAACUGAGACACGGCCCAGACUCCUACGGGAGGCAGCAGUAGGGAAUCUUCCGCAAUGGGCGAAAGCCUGACGGAGCAACGCCGCGUGAGUGAUGAAGGUCUUCGGAUCGUAAAACUCUGUUAUUAGGGAAGAACAAAUGUGUAAGUAACUAUGCACGUCUUGACGGUACCUAAUCAGAAAGCCACGGCUAACUACGUG